AUGUGGAUCUAUUAUGUUAGAAUGAUCUCAAAGAAUAAUGGAAGACUGAGAAAGAGAAUGCAAAGGAGAAGAGGGAAGGAGGCAGAAGAAAGGACAAAAAUAUUUCAAAUACUAGAGCCCUUCAGCUCUGGAGCUUUGGUGUGCUAUGGAUCAGGAGUCUCUACUACUAUGCUUGGAACCAAUAUGAUAAGUCCUGAGAACACCUAACUUAAGAAGGAACUCUGACCCAUGCCAGAAAAUGAGCAGCAACAGGUAAGAUCAAAACCCAAGCUCAGAAGAGGAUAAUAGUACCAGUAUGGACAUUUGUGAAGUCUCAGAUGCAAAUAUGAAAGGAUGUCAAGCCCAUAAUGAACUCCUGGAAUACGACCAAAAAAGGUUCAUCAAGAGGUACUAUAUUUUAGAUACUGUAGAACUUACUUUGGAAGGACUUAUAGUUAACCCAAGGAAAUUACUAGAAGUUCUUUUAUCCAUGACAUACAUAUCAUAAGCUUUACUGCCAUUGCUAUCAUUAAACUGUGCUCAUUCCCUGUGCUCAGUGACUCUGAGUCACUGAAAUACAAAUACAGUGUUAUUCAAAAUAAUUAUUAGCUUGAUUGUUUUUAAAUUUGGGAAAAUCUCAGCAUCCAGUAACUCUCCUGGACAAAACUAAUUGCAAAGAAAAUAGGAAAGAAAAGUCAACAGGCCAGAGCAUUGAGUGUGUAAAGCAUCAUUUGAGCUGAGACUGAACGUCACCUGAAAACAACUGCCAUUUUGCAUUCUAGCCCACAUUGUUUUUUCUUAGUGUCACAAUUUUCACUUUGAUGCCCUUUGCUGGGUUAUUACUAAGGGAAAAUAUGUUAAGUAAUUUAGGCUUGAGAAAUGAUUCAUGUAUCAUUUUGUGACAUAACUUUUACACUCGCUUCUCCUUCCUAUUUCUGCUUAAUUCUAAGUGAAUCCAAAGAUUCAUCAUACUUGAUAUGCCACUUAUCCAGUGGUUCACACCUCAGUGAAAAAAAGGAGACACUAAAAAUAGUCAUGAUAGCAACUCUUGCCCUUUUGGUUCUGGAUGAGAAUUAAAUUGCUGCUGGUGUUAGAAUAGAAAAUCCAUCUUAACCCCCAUUCUAUUUUCCAUGAGGACUUAUUCUUUGGCAGCCUAUGGUCCGGUGCUUAUAGCUCCCUACUGUAUAGGGAUUAAAAUGUCAGAGAGAAAUGUGUUAAUCUAUAUAUCUGAACUCACUACCUUACUACACAAGCCAUUGUCCAUAUUCACACCCAGCUUCUAAUAUUCCCCGGUAAAGGGAACUAGAGCUAUGAAUGUAAGGAUAAAAAUAAUCAUUGCUCCACUUUGGGCAGAUACUUCCUCUUCUACCUUUGCUUGCAUUUUGGUUAUGACUGUGGAUUCAUAAGAUCCCUCUGCAAUGCUUUACUGUUUCUGUAACCCAAAGGAAUGAGAAAAAAGAAUUAGCUUCAAUACAUGUACUUUACAUAGGAUAGGGGGUGAAGCCUGCAGUUCACAAAGACUGGAUAUCUAAAAUAUGUGAGGAAUCUAGACAUAAGGUUUCUAACUUUGUGUAAUAUACAUAUGGAUUUUAUUGACCAAAGUGGCCAUCAAAGAAAAUAAUAUAAAUGAGCUUAAGAAACAGACAUUUUUACAUAAGGAAGAGGAUUAAAGUAUUUACUAAGAAGUCAGGAGGUGGAAUUAUGAUAAAAGUGGACAGGCUAUUUUAGCCACAUGGUAUUUUUUCAAUUCAUCCAAAAAUAUAUAAAUACAUAUGUUAAUUAAAACAUUCUCCUAAAAGACAGUGCAUAGGUUAAACAUGCUUAGAAUUAAGCUGGAAUAUGCCUAGGGCAUAAUUUACAUAGAGUAUAUGGCUAUUUAAUGAAAAGCAUACUUUCUUAGCAUGAAGAAAAAUGUUAGAAUAUCUGAAAUACCACUUAUGCCAUUGUAACACUUAGCAUCAUUUUAACACAAAAGAACAUUAAAUUAUUAUUAAAUGUUGAAAUAAGAUUUUUUCUAAUGUAAUUCAAUUUUGUUUUCACUAAAUAUUUUGGCCUUAAUGAUCAAUUUUUGUAUUUUUCACUUUCCACAAUAUUUUCAGAAUAAUGCUCUUAAGAUAUCACUACAGUAAAUUCAUGUACAUUUAAGAAAUUAUACAGUGAAUUUGAAAUAAUAGUUCAGGAAUAGCAAUUUGUGAUAACACCAUUGACAAAAAUGCAAUCAAUACUUUUGCCCCUUCCCCCACCAACUAUUACUCUUAUUUCCUUUCCACAAUUCACAUAGUGGAGACCAAAUUGUGUAGUUGGAAAUAUACUGAGUUCUUAAGAAUUCCAGAAUUCCAAAGCUUUUUUACUGUUAAUCAUAACCUAAUUUCAGUUAGAUGUGAACAGAAUAAUAGACCUUUUGUCAAUUAAUUAAAAAGUAUUCCUCUUUAUAAAAUGUCUGUCAAAUGAUAAUAAAAUAUGAUAGAUUUGGCUUAAAAUACUGGUA
Monodelphis domestica (gray short-tailed opossum) is the source of this 2467-nucleotide long non-coding RNA. NCBI's taxonomy places the organism in Eukaryota, Metazoa, Chordata, Mammalia, Didelphimorphia, Didelphidae. The record is from Ensembl.